This 226-nucleotide ribosomal RNA is filed under the name uncultured bacterium. RNAcentral describes it as "partial 16S ribosomal RNA". It matches the Rfam family "Bacterial small subunit ribosomal RNA", at positions 355 to 573 of the family's 1533-position model. The record is from RNAcentral.
UAGGGAAUCUUCCACAAUGGACGCAAGUCUGAUGGAGCAACGGCCGCGUGAGUGAAGAAGGUUUUCGGACCGUAAGCUCUGUUGUUGGUGAAGAAGGAUAGAGGUAGUAACUGGCCUUUAUUUGACGGUAAUCAACCAGAAAGUCACGGCUAACUACGUGCCAGCAGCCGCGGUAAUACUAGGUGGCAAGCGUUGUCCGGAUUUAUUGGGCGUAAAAGCGAGCGCA